RNAcentral lists this long non-coding RNA (484 nucleotides) under Fukomys damarensis (Damara mole-rat). Its description in RNAcentral is "lncRNA (ENSFDAG00000031188.1)". The record is from RNAcentral. Lineage: Eukaryota; Metazoa; Chordata; Mammalia; Rodentia; Bathyergidae.
GUUGAUGCUUGAAAGGUUUCAGGUUUUGGAGCAUUUUGGAUUUCUGCAUGAUGAAGGUUCAGCUUAUAUAAUACCACCAGUUACAAGCAGAUGCUCAUCCUGGAUUACCUGGAUAGCGUGAAUUCCAUCCCUCGGCCCAGAUGAGGGAAGACUGGUGGAUGUGAAUUUCAGGCGUCUUAGAAAUGGAAGUGACUAGAGGAGUGGGAACUGACAGGUAGGUGGGGAAAAGUGUGGUUUUAAACUCCUGGAUUUAAUGAUUUCUCUUGACUGCAACAUGGUCUUGAGCCUCAAGUGUAACCCUAGGAUGUGUGAUGUGGUUAUCACACCCUUCAGUCCAGAGGAGGAGUAGGGAAAGGCACGUGCUCCCAUUUUGCAGAGAUAGAAAUGGAAGCCUAGAAGAACUCUGAAACCCAGGGUGGGUCCUCUCUCCUGUCUUUCCAACAGGAGAGAAGAUGAACUCUCACGAGAGGAGAGCAGGUAGGUC